RNAcentral lists this ribosomal RNA (406 nucleotides) under uncultured bacterium. Its description in RNAcentral is "partial 16S ribosomal RNA". It matches the Rfam family "Bacterial small subunit ribosomal RNA", at positions 30 to 526 of the family's 1533-position model. The record is from RNAcentral.
AUUGAACGCUGGCGGCAGGCCUAACACAUGCAAGUCGAACGAGAGGCGGACGGGUGAGUAAUGUCUGGGAAACUGCGCGAGGGAGGGGGAUAAAUACUGGAAACGGUAGCUCAUACCGCAUACCAUCGGAGGUGACCAGAUGGGAUUAGCUAGUAGGUGGGGUAACGGCUCACCUAGGCGACGAUCCCUAGCUGGUCUGAGAGGAUGACCAGCCACACUGGAACUGAGACACGGUCCAGACGCCUACGGGAGGCAGCAGUGGGGAAUAUUGCACAAUGGGCGCAAGCCUGAUGCAGCCAUGCCGCGUGUAUGAAGAAGGCCUUCGGGUUGUAAAGUACUUUCAGCGAGGAGGCGUUACUCGCAGAAGAAGCACCGGCUAACUCCGUGCCAGCAGCCGCGGUAAUUC